This is a small nucleolar RNA of Lemur catta (Ring-tailed lemur), 131 nucleotides long. RefSeq annotates it as small nucleolar RNA SNORA33. NCBI's taxonomy places the organism in Eukaryota, Metazoa, Chordata, Mammalia, Primates, Lemuridae. The transcript has a single exon. The record is from RefSeq and is a predicted model, not a curated record.
AAGCCAGCCAAUGAAUGUUGAUUACCUGAAUAUGCUUCUGCAGAAAGUUUUAAAAAGCUGGCAAUAGUAAAGCCAUGUUACGAGCCUUAAGGACAUUAAAGUUGUUAAGAUCCCUGAAAAUGGCUCUAACA